This 254-nucleotide ribosomal RNA is filed under the name uncultured bacterium. RNAcentral's name for it is "partial 16S ribosomal RNA". It matches the Rfam family "Bacterial small subunit ribosomal RNA", at positions 524 to 776 of the family's 1533-position model. The record is from RNAcentral.
UACGGGGGGAGUAAGCGUUGUUCGGAUUUACUGGGCGUAAAGGGCGCGUAGGCGGCCACCGCAAGUCAAUUGUGAAAUCUCCGGGCUUAACUCGGAAAGGUCAACUGAUACUGCGGGGCUAGAGUGCGGAAGGGGCAACUGGAAUUCUCGGUGUAGCGGUGAAAUGCGUAGAUAUCGAGAGGAACACCUGCGGCGAAGGCGGGUUGCUGGGCCGACACUGACGCUGAGGCGCGAAAGCCAGGGGAGCGAACGGG